CGACCACGUCGCCACACACCAAACACAGGACACUGUGUGUGAUUGGAUCAGCCCUCGCACCGUCUCAAAAGCAGGCAUCCAGAAGGCAGCAGCAACACAGAGCCGCCAAGCUGCACGACAACAAUAACAACAAAAUAAAGUCCCAAAAAUAAAGUUAUAGACAGAGGAACAGGGGCUUGAGAUCUGACGAAAGUCAAGAGCCCCAUCGACAUGUCGAGGUUGGAAUAUUUUGGGAUAGGGUUAUAUUGGGAACGGAACAUUAUAUUAUAAUAUUUAUAUAUAACACGAGUACUCUCUCCCCUUCUCUCUAUAGAUAUUUAUUGAACAAAUUUAGUUAAAAUUUAGUUAAACUCUACUUGUGUUAAGCGGCCUAACUCGAGUAAUGAGUAGGUGAACAAGCGGUCGACACGUCAGCAUGAUGUUCCCACGAUGGUGACACGUUGCCCACGCAGCCCGCAACGACCGCACCUACGAGCCGCGCUAUCGUGCGCCGGCGCCGGGACGGAGCGGCCCGGCCCGCCGUCGGAUUUCCGAAUCACGGCGCAGAUCCGCGACCUAGGCGACCUCACCGGCGACGUGCGCAGGUGGUGCGGCCAUCGGAGACGCCGGCGGCCAGAUCGCGCGCCAACAUUCCGGCCAUCAUGCGCCGGCCAGGCGAUUCCGGUGAUCUUUAGAUCUCCGAGAUCUACAAGAGGAGGGGGGAGGAGUGGGGGGUGGGGGAUGGGGGAGAGAGAUCCGUACCAUCCUUCGAGGAAGGUAGGCCCACUGCUCUGCUGCUGCUGC
This 783-nucleotide long non-coding RNA is filed under the name Phoenix dactylifera (date palm). Its description in RNAcentral is "long non-coding RNA (PDAC_LNC018295)". The record is from RNAcentral. Lineage: Eukaryota; Viridiplantae; Streptophyta; Magnoliopsida; Arecales; Arecaceae.